This 253-nucleotide ribosomal RNA is filed under the name uncultured bacterium. Its description in RNAcentral is "partial 16S ribosomal RNA". It matches the Rfam family "Bacterial small subunit ribosomal RNA", at positions 524 to 776 of the family's 1533-position model. The record is from RNAcentral.
UACAGAGGUCCCGAGCGUUGUUCGGAUUCAUUGGGCGUAAAGGGUGCGUAGGCGGCGGGGCAAGUCUGAUGUGAAAUCCCGGGGCUCAACCCCGGAACUGCAUUGGAUACUGCCUUGCUAGAGUACUGGAGAGGGAACUGGAAUUUACGGUGUAGCAGUGAAAUGCGUAGAGAUCGUAAGGAAGGCCAGUGGCGAAGGCGCUCUGCUGGACCAUAACUGACGCCCAGGGACGAAAGCUAGGGGAGCGAAUGGG